CCUGGCGGCAAUAGCGAGUGGGAACCACCCGAUCCCAUCUCGAACUCGGAAGUGAAAACGCUCAGCGCCGAUGGUAGUGUGGGGUCUCCCCAUGUGAGAGUAGGACACCGCCAGGC
This 116-nucleotide ribosomal RNA is filed under the name Woeseia sp. Lineage: Bacteria; Pseudomonadati; Pseudomonadota; Gammaproteobacteria; Woeseiales; Woeseiaceae. The record is from RNAcentral.